CCUACGGGAGGCAGCAGUGGGGAAUAUUGGACAAUGGGCGAAAGCCUGAUCCAGCAAUGCCGCGUGAGUGAUGAAGGCCUUAGGGUUGUAAAGCUCUUUUACCAGGGAUGAUAAUGACAGUACCUGGAGAAUAAGCUCCGGCUAACUCCGUGCCAGCAGCCGCGGUAAUACGGAGGGAGCUAGCGUUGUUCGGAAUUACUGGGCGUAAAGCGUACGUAGGCGGUUAUUCAAGUCAGAGGUGAAAGCCUGGAGCUCAACUCCAGAACUGCCUUUGAAACUAGAUAGCUAGAAUCACGGAGAGGUGAGUGGAAUUCCGAGUGUAGAGGUGAAAUUCGUAGAUAUUCGGAAGAACACCAGUGGCGAAGGCGGCUCACUGGACGUGUAUUGACGCUGAGGUACGAAAGCGUGGGGAGCAAACAGGAUUAGAUACCCUGGUAGUCCACGCCGUAAACGAUGAUAACUAGCUGCCAGGGUUCACAGAACUUUGGUGGCGCAGCUAACGCAUUAAGUUAUCCGCCUGGGGAGUACGGUCGCAAGAUUAAAACUCAAAUGAAUUGACGGGGGCCCGCACAAGCGGUGGAGCAUGUGGUUUAAUUCGAUGCAACGCGAAGAACCUUACCUACCCUUGACAUGUCUGAAAUCCCUGAGAGAUUGGGGAGUGCCUUCGGGAAUCAGAACACAGGUGCUGCAUGGCUCAGGUCACAUCGUGUCGCGAGAUGUUGGGUUAAGUCCCGUAGCGAUCACAACCCUUGUCCUUAGUUGCCAGCGCGUAAUGGCGGGAACUCUAGGGAGACUGCCGGUGAUAUACCGGAGGAAGGUGGGGAAGACGUCAAGUCACCAUGGCCCUUAUGGGUAGGGCAACACACGAUAGACAAUGGUCGGUACAGAGGGCAGGGAACUCUUGAUAGUAAGCAAAUUCCAGAAAACCGUUCUUAGUCAUGAUUGCAGUCUGCAACUUGUUUCCAUGAAGUCGGGGAAACAUUAAUGACCAAUCUUAAGCAACCAGAUAGGUGACCCUAUAGCUUCCUUAACUAUGCGUCCCACCAUUGGAGAGGUUUAAAAUCGGUCGCCUUGCACGCGCCCGGG
This 1086-nucleotide ribosomal RNA is filed under the name uncultured bacterium. RNAcentral's name for it is "bacterial SSU rRNA". It matches the Rfam family "Bacterial small subunit ribosomal RNA", at positions 338 to 1378 of the family's 1533-position model. The record is from RNAcentral.